Molecule: ribosomal RNA, 506 nt
Filed under: uncultured Aspergillus
Lineage: Eukaryota; Fungi; Ascomycota; Eurotiomycetes; Eurotiales; Aspergillaceae
Description: SSU rRNA
Rfam family: Eukaryotic small subunit ribosomal RNA
Source: RNAcentral
AGCAGCCGCGGUAAUUCCAGCUCCAAUAGCGUAUAUUAAAGUUGUUGCAGUUAAAAAGCUCGUAGUUGAACCUUGGGCCUGGCUGGCCGGUCCGCCUCACCGCGAGUACUGGUCCGGCUGGGCCUUUCCUUCUGGGGAACCUCAUGGCCUUCACUGGCUGUGGGGGGAACCAGGACUUUUACUGUGAAAAAAUUAGAGUGUUCAAAGCAGGCCUUUGCUCGAAUACAUUAGCAUGGAAUAAUAGAAUAGGACGUGCGGUUCUAUUUUGUUGGUUUCUAGGACCGCCGUAAUGAUUAAUAGGGAUAGUUGGGGGCAUUAGUAUUCAACUGUCAGAGGUGAAAUUCUUGGAUUUAUUGAAGACUAACUACUGCGAAAGCAUUUGCCAAGGAUGUUUUCAUUAAUCAAGAACGAAAGUUAGGGGAUCGAAGACGAUCAGAUACCGUCGUAGUCUUAACCAUAAACUAUGCCGACUAGGGAUCGGAUGAUGUUAAUUUUUUAAUGACUCA